This 467-nucleotide ribosomal RNA is filed under the name uncultured bacterium. RNAcentral's name for it is "bacterial SSU rRNA". It matches the Rfam family "Bacterial small subunit ribosomal RNA", at positions 917 to 1382 of the family's 1533-position model. The record is from RNAcentral.
GGGCCCGCACAAGCGGUGGAGCAUGUGGUUCAAUUCGAAGCAACGCGCAGAACCUUACCAGCCUUUGACAUCCCGGUCGCGAGCACCAGAGAUGGAGCUCUUCAGUUCGGCUGGACCGGAGACAGGUGCUGCAUGGCUGUCGUCAGCUCGUGUCGUGAGAUGUUGGGUUAAGUCCCGCAACGAGCGCAACCCUCGCCCUUAGUUGCCAUCAUUUAGUUGGGCACUCUAAGGGGACUGCCGGUGAUAAGCCGGAGGAAGGUGGGGAUGACGUCAAGUCCUCAUGGCCCUUACAGGCUGGGCUACACACGUGCUACAAUGGCGGUGACAGAGGGAUGCAAAGGAGCAAUCCUCAGCAAAUCUCAAAAAGCCGUCUCAGUUCGGAUUGUGCUCUGCAACUCGAGCACAUGAAGUUGGAAUCGCUAGUAAUCGCAGAUCAGCACGCUGCGGUGAAUACGUUCCCGGGCCUU